CCCUUCGAGAGUGAGAGUGAGCAUGAUGGUGAGAACCAGGGGAACGAGAGUAUCUUCUUCUGUGGGAAGGUGAACGCAAACAAGACAAGCUCCGAGCCAUGGAUGAGCGAAUUUUCAAAACCUAACUCGGUAACUCGUCACCAACUCGCAAAUCCUUACUCACUUAUCACCACUGAUAAUGAUUUAGGGUUUACCUGCUCUUAAAACCAGCAAUGAAGCAUCGAUGGAAAGGCCGUUGCACGAGGAAGGGAUCAGCGCCAGAGAGAGCUGCAGCGGAGGGGUUAGGGGUUAGCACCGACGGAAGGG
This 306-nucleotide long non-coding RNA is filed under the name Arachis ipaensis. Its description in RNAcentral is "long non-coding RNA (AIPA_LNC000672)". The record is from RNAcentral. Lineage: Eukaryota; Viridiplantae; Streptophyta; Magnoliopsida; Fabales; Fabaceae.